This 73-nucleotide transfer RNA is filed under the name Mus musculus (house mouse). It matches the Rfam family "tRNA". From Rfam's summary of the family: Transfer RNA (tRNA) molecules are approximately 80 nucleotides in length. Lineage: Eukaryota; Metazoa; Chordata; Mammalia; Rodentia; Muridae. The record is from Rfam by way of RNAcentral.
GCCUGGCUUGUUCAGUCAGUAGAGCAUGAGACUCUUAAUCUCAGAGUCUUGGGUUCAAGCCCUACUUUGGGUG